UACGAAGGGAGCUAGCGUUGUUCGGAAUCACUGGGCGUAAAGCGCACGUAGGCGGGCUUGUCAGUCAGGGGUGAAAUCCUGGAGCUCAACUCCAGAACUGCCUUCGAUACUGAGAGUCUCGAGUCCGGGAGAGGUGAGUGGAACUGCGAGUGUAGAGGUGAAAUUCGUAGAUAUUCGCAAGAACACCAGUGGCGAAGGCGGCUCACUGGCCCGGUACUGACGCUGAGGUGCGAAAGCGUGGGGAGCAAACAGG
RNAcentral lists this ribosomal RNA (253 nucleotides) under uncultured bacterium. RNAcentral's name for it is "partial 16S ribosomal RNA". It matches the Rfam family "Bacterial small subunit ribosomal RNA", at positions 524 to 776 of the family's 1533-position model. The record is from RNAcentral.